AGAUUUCUGAGGUGUUCGACAUAUUCUCAAUGUGUUGACCGAACAAUUUAUUACUACCUUGGGAUCCUGUUUAUUCCGGUGGAUAACACGCCUUAUCAUUUGGUAGUUAGAGACUGGAUAUUGGAGCCCACCUGCUUAUAUGCGGGUUCAAAACUAGUAGAAUAUAACUCACCGGCACCAUCGGAUUUCUA
RNAcentral lists this non-coding RNA (191 nucleotides) under Trichococcus patagoniensis. Its description in RNAcentral is "6S / SsrS RNA". It matches the Rfam family "6S / SsrS RNA". From Rfam's summary of the family: E. coli 6S RNA was the first non coding RNA to be sequenced, but its function was unknown until recently. It consists of 184 nucleotides that fold into an extended hairpin structure with a large single-stranded internal bulge. The 6S RNA specifically associates with RNA polymerase holoenzyme containing the sigma70 specificity factor. RNAcentral also lists the same sequence under 2 other names. Lineage: Bacteria; Bacillati; Bacillota; Bacilli; Lactobacillales; Carnobacteriaceae. The record is from RNAcentral.